Drosophila mojavensis is the source of this 3819-nucleotide RNA transcript. It is a transcript of the gene named zinc finger protein squeeze, with no coding region annotated. The transcript has 4 exons. The record is from RefSeq and is a predicted model, not a curated record. Lineage: Eukaryota; Metazoa; Arthropoda; Insecta; Diptera; Drosophilidae.
UUUUUCAGUCGAGUUUUUGCCACCGAGCCGAAUGGUUCCUCUUCUUCACACUCGUCUUUUUUACGUUUUCCGUAGUGAUUUGUUGUUCGCGUACGCUCAGCAUGUAAAUAACGAGGGGUGAAACGAAGCACAAACCAUAAACGAAACGAAUGUUGCAUGCUGUAAAUCGUGCGAUCUCCCCUCAUUCAUCAUUUAUAAUUAAUCAAGGCGCCAAAAUUAAGUCGCGCCAAAUUUUGCAAAAAAAGAGGGCAGCACAAGUGCAAACACACACGCUCAAGUGUGUGUUGGUGUGUGUAUAUAUUUUUGGCGUGCGCGGCCAUUUUUUUCCUUAGCUCUCAAGUCUGCAUGUGUGUGCGUGUGCUUAGUGUACUCCAAAUUCGUAAGAGAAAACGUAAAAAGUGCAAAUAGACAAAAUUAAUAAUAAUAAAUAAAAAGAAAAAAAUUAAUGAGUAUCUUCGGGUUGUUUACCUAGGUAGGCAAAUAUCGUAACCAAACUAUUGCUCCCUACGCACGCAAAACGAAAGGUGAAAACAUAAAAUCACAUAAAAGUUGUGAAAGGAUAGCAGAACGGAACGCGAAUAUUUGUCGAAACACCCCCUUCCCCACCCACACUAAUAGGUCAGUCAGAACACGUGCUUUUACUACGAAAACAUCAACAGAAACGCGCGCAAAAAAGAGAACACAAUAACAACUGCCAUUUCCAGUUGCAUAAAACCUGAACGACAAAAAAGAGUAUAAGCCAAGAAGUUGUGUAAGCCGCGAUUCGAUUUCAGUUUAGUCGCAAUCGUUGCCCGGCUCGGUUACGCUCUCUUUCUCUCCAAUCUCCGCUGAAGCGCUCGCUUUUGCAAAGGCCACAAUCUGGACGCUCGCACGAUCGCCUAUCGACCGCUGAACCUAGGCGGGCAGCCGCUUAUGGCUGCCGAACUGCCAACGUCGACGCCGAAUGGCGCUGGUAGCGAGUAUCACCUGCACCGAUCCAUCGACCAGCUGCGCACGCUCAGCCACCUCACCCAGCAGCAGCUGGUCCACGACUACAAGCCCUUCAACAUCAACGAGUUCCGCCAGAACGUUGAGCGUUUGGACUACUCGCGCAAGAACGGGCUGGUGCAGCAGCAGCAAAUAUUGAUUGACCAGCAGCAGCAGCAGCAGCAACAGCAACAGCAACAGCAGCAUCAGCAAUCGCAUCAGCAUGAUUCCGAGCAACAGCAGCAGCAACAACAACAGCAGCAGCUGCUCCAUCAGCCGCAGCUAAAGGGCAACUACAGUGCUCCAAGCUCGCCGGCAACGCCUACUCAGCUCAGCGAACACCAGGAGCAAAAGUAUGAUCCGAGUCGUCCGCCCUCUCGGCAGCAAGGUGGCAGCAAUGGCAGCAACGGCUCAUCGCCCGAGGAUCAGCGCCAGGGCGGGGAGCAGACGAAGCCGUACAAGUGCGCCUCGUGCAGUAAAUCCUUCGCCAACUCAUCCUAUUUGUCGCAGCACACGCGCAUCCAUCUGGGCAUCAAGCCCUACCGCUGCGAGAUCUGCCAGCGCAAAUUCACGCAGCUGUCGCACCUGCAGCAGCACAUACGCACGCAUACGGGCGACAAGCCGUACAAAUGCCGGCACACUGGCUGCCCGAAGGCCUUCUCGCAGCUCUCGAAUCUGCAGUCGCAUUCGCGCUGCCAUCAGACGGACAAGCCGUUCAAAUGCAACUCGUGCUACAAGUGCUUCGGCGACGAGGUGACGCUGCUUGAGCACAUACCCAAGCACAAGGACUCGAAGCAUCUGAAGACGCACAUUUGCCAGCUGUGCGGCAAGUCCUACACGCAGGAGACCUAUCUGCAGAAGCAUCUGCAAAAGCACGCCGAGAAGGCCGAGAAGCAGCAGCAGCGGCACACGACGCCGGCCGCCAAUCUGCAGCAGCAUGUGCCAGCGGGCGGCAUUGGGCUGAAUCUGCAGAGGCAGGCGAUGAACGACGCUAAUGCCGCGUAUUGGGCCAAAAUGGGCGUUGAUAGCGCCGCCGCCACGCUGGCCGAGGCCAUACAGCAGCAGCUGCCGCAAGCCAAUGGCAGUUCGUAUGCCAACUUUGCGACUCUCCAGCAUCAGCAGCAGCAACAACAGCAGCAGCAGCAGCAGGAACUGCUGCAGCAGCAUCAUCAACGCCUGGCCAAUAGCGGCGGGGAUACGCCAGGGCACUCGCAAAGCCCGCAUGACGAGGCUGGCGAGGAUCUGGUGCUGCGUCAGAGCACGCCUCAGCAUCAUAUGCAACAGCAGCAACAGCAGCAGCAGCAUCCACAGCAGCAGCAGCAACAUGCGACGCACGCUCAUUCCCCUGGACCGGGCACCUCGGCCUUCACGCCGCUGAGCGCCACCGUCGCACCACCGCCCUCGCAUCUGCAGCAGCAUCGAGCACCGCCCGCAGCCACUGCCGCCUACCUGUAUCAGCAGAAUGCAGCCGCUGCUGCUGCCGCCGCCGCCUUUCCUACGCAGCUAAUCUCGCUGCAUCAGAUACGAAACUAUGCGCAUCAGCCGAGCACCGGAAUUUUGGCCAGCGACCAUUUGGCUCUGGGUCUCAGCACCGUGGCCAAGGAAAAGGCCCAAUAGUAUCGGGCGACCGGCCACAAACGGCAGCCGAAGGAGCAGCAGCUACGAUGACAGCGAAAGCAGCUUAAGUUAAGUUAGGGUUAAGUUAGGCUUAACUUGGGCUGAUUUAGAGGGAGGGACAGCUGUCGAUGCCUGGUUUCCUCUAUGCGCCUCUGAUGAGGCUGCACAGCACGACUAAAAAAUACCAGCGGCAACUGUGCUGCCCCAUCGUAGACAUAAACACAUUUAGUAACUCCACACUGCCUCAAGAAUACAAAUAUACCUAUCAAUGUGACAGAUGCAUACAGCAAACCAGGCUUUGACAGCUGUAGACCGCAAGGAAACUACUUGAAGGUUAUUUUUAAAGCAAACUCAGGGUUUUCACUUAGCUUCUAAAACACACUAUAUAUACAUAAUUACCCUAUAAGCAAUAUUUACAAGCAAGAUUGAGGAAACGAGAACACAAAACUCUAUUCAACUCGAAAUUUCUAUUGUUUCCAGUUGCAAACAGUUUUUUGUCCAUGAUAGAGAUAGUCCGUAAGCCUGUACAACAACAACCUAUAAUAUAUAGAAUAGAUCAUAGGUGCCGUACAAAGUACUGCGAUAGUUAUAUAUCCACGAGUGUACAUAUUAUAACUAAUUAUAAUGUGCUGUACAAGUCAACGUAUCAACGGAGUUAUACAAUCAACAAUUUGUCUGUAUAAAUCUAGAGUUAACCAAACUACUCUAGGAUCUAUUUUAUAUUUAAUCAUACACGUCCGGCAACCGCAGCGAGGAUCAAAGGAAGCAAUGAUGCAGAAGCAAAUGCACAUAAUCCGCUUACGUUGCUUCGGGAGAAGAGAGCCGAAGUCUCACAAGAGAUUUACGUUCUCAGAUGUUUAGCAUUUCGCGUCCUUCCAUAUCUUCAUAUUACCCUCAACAGCAAAGAAAUCGAAAUUGAGAAACAGCAGCUGCUACCGCCGAUUGACGUCGCAUUUCGAAGAUUAAUGAUAGCAUUGCUCGAGCGGAGCUCAAAUUUGAAUAUAUGGGCAUUCAUUGAAUCGCUGCUUUGAGCUAAAUUUAGAUAUUACAAUAUUGGCUCUAACAUUGAAACGGAUGUGCGAAAUACCAAUACAUGCAAUCUUUAAUUAAGCAGAACUGCAGAUUUUUUGUUUUUAGUUUUAUUUUCCAAAUUUAGUAUUUUUAUUAAAUCCUCACAUCUGAAAUUAGUUUGGAAAAGUAUAUUUGCUUUUAUAAGUGAUAUGUAUUAUAUAGUAA